This 301-nucleotide ribosomal RNA is filed under the name uncultured bacterium. RNAcentral's name for it is "partial 16S ribosomal RNA". It matches the Rfam family "Bacterial small subunit ribosomal RNA", at positions 509 to 807 of the family's 1533-position model. The record is from RNAcentral.
CAGCCGCCACGGGAAUACGGAGGGUGCAAGCGUUAAUCGGAAUUACUGGGCGUAAAGCGCACGCAGGCGGUUUGUUAAGUCAGAUGUGAAAUCCCCGCGCUUAACGUGGGAACUGCAUUUGAAACUGGCAAGCUAGAGUCUUGUAGAGGGGGGUAGAAUUCCAGGUGUAGCGGUGAAAUGCGUAGAGAUCUGGAGGAAUACCGGUGGCGAAGGCGGCCCCCUGGACAAAGACUGACGCUCAGGUGCGAAAGCGUGGGGAGCAAACAGGAUUAGAUACCCGUGUAGUCCCUGUCUCUUAUAC